Molecule: small RNA, 108 nt
Filed under: Flavobacterium swingsii
Lineage: Bacteria; Pseudomonadati; Bacteroidota; Flavobacteriia; Flavobacteriales; Flavobacteriaceae
Description: Flavo-1 RNA
Rfam family: Flavo-1 RNA
Source: RNAcentral
UAUUUGCGUGAGGGAUGGCAGUAGAAAUCCUUUUUAGUUUUAGGAUUGACUUCUAAUUACUAAAUAACAUUAAAACUAAAAAGAUUGGAACGAACAGCCCGACGUCCG